Molecule: ribosomal RNA, 466 nt
Filed under: uncultured bacterium
Lineage: Bacteria
Description: partial 16S ribosomal RNA
Rfam family: Bacterial small subunit ribosomal RNA
Source: RNAcentral
GACGAACGCUGGCGGCGUGCUUAACACAUGCAAGUCGAACGGAAAGGCCCUGCUUGCAGGGUACUCGAGUGGCGAACGGGUGAGUAACACGUGGGUGAUCUGCCCUGCACUUCGGGAUAAGCUUGGGAAACUGGGUCUAAUACCGGAUAGGAACCAUCUUUAGUGUGGUGGUUGGAAAGUUUUUUCGGUGUAGGAUGAGCUCGCGGCCUAUCAGCUUGUUGGUGGGGUAAUGGCCUACCAAGGCGGCGACGGGUAGCCGGCCUGAGAGGGUGUACGGCCACAUUGGGACUGAGAUACGGCCCAGACUCCUACGGGAGGCAGCAGUGGGGAAUAUUGCACAAUGGGCGCAAGCCUGAUGCAGCGACGCCGCGUGGGGGAUGAAGGCCUUCGGGUUGUAAACUCCUUUCGCUAGGGAAGAAGCUUUGUUGUGACGGUACCUAGAUAAGAAGCACCGGCUAACUACGUG